Scophthalmus maximus (turbot) is the source of this 1016-nucleotide long non-coding RNA. RefSeq lists it as uncharacterized. The record is from RefSeq and is a predicted model, not a curated record. Lineage: Eukaryota; Metazoa; Chordata; Actinopteri; Pleuronectiformes; Scophthalmidae. The transcript is spliced from 3 exons.
UUUCUUUUCUUUUCUUUUCUUCAACCUUAGAUCAAGUCCUAUUAUUAUCAGUCCUUUCAGAAAUUAGCUGCACUUAUGUACACUAUUUAAUCUUGCUACAGUGAAAGGCAGGACUACUCCUUGUGUGCUGUGUAAGUCUCCACUUUGGCAGGACAUCAUGUAAAUAUGGGGGGGGGGGUUUGACGUGUGUGAAUAUGAAUGAGUAAGUGUUAAAUAUUUGAAUAAAAUAGAAGUAAACAAAUAUAUUUAAAUAUUGCUGAUGUUAAAACUAGACAGUAGGUUUGUGCUGUAACAUGAUUCAUUCUGAUUCGGGCAUCUCGGGCUGGGAUGUCCAUCUCUCGCUCCCUGAGUCAAAUUAGUUGCUAUGGUUCCUCCUGUUCCCUCCUUUCCUCAUUUCUUUAAGUUGAGCCAGAGAUUACAGCGUGUAAUCAGGCCGCUCUGUGGAGACAACUGUGAAUUAAGAGGCGAGUAAUGCCCUGAUUUGUUAGACGUUAAGCUCUCGCUCAUUGUCUCUGUGAAGGUGACUUCCUAAUGUCUUUGGUUGCAAUUAAAUCCUGCCAACAAAGCCCGAGCAUCGCAGCCAGCACACUGCUGCUCUCAUCUUCUCGGCUCCUCACGUGAUCCACAGCGGUUGUCAAGUCUGUUUUCUUGAGCUGUUCCCUGCCGUAGCUGGAUUCCCCUUUCCAGACGGCGACACACACGCUGAGACACCCACAGGCUUCAGCUUGUAUACGUCUGCAGCUGCUGUCACCUCCCUCUCGCUCUGAUGUCACAGAAUUUCACUUUCUUCCAGCAGCACUCCAGCGUACGUUUCAUCAGAGUGGGGGUGUACUUGCCCCAAAUAUCCCCCGAGAAAAGUUCUGUUGGAUGUGAUUUCAUUAAUCCAUUUGCUCAAGAAAAUGAAAUGCUGAGGAGUAUUCAAGGGCUGGAUGUGGUAAGGCAGUGUAGGAUCAGACCCACACAAGGAGCUCUGUGUCCGGACCAUUUCUGCAGGCUGGACAGGCAGGUGCACUCAC